GACGAACGCUGGCGGCGUGCUUAACACAUGCAAGUCGAACGGAAAGGCCCUGCUUUUGUGGGGUGCUCGAGUGGCGAACGGGUGAGUAACACGUGAGUAACCUGCCCUUGACUUUGGGAUAACUUCAGGAAACUGGGGCUAAUACCGGAUAGGAGCUCCUGCUGCAUGGUGGGGGUUGGAAAGUUUCGGCGGUUGGGGAUGGACGUCCGGUUUACUAGCUUGUUGGUGGGGUAGUGGCCUACCAAGGCUUUGGCGGGUAGCCGGCCUGAGAGGGUGACCGGCCACAUGGGGACUGAGGUACGGCCCAGACUCCUACGGGAGGCAGCGGGGGGAAAUAUUGCACAAUGGGCGGAAGCCUGAUGCAGCAACGCCGCGUGCGGGAUGACGGCCAUCGGGUUGUAAACCGCUUUCACCUGUGACGAAGCGUGAGUGACGGUAAUGGGUAAAGAAGCACCGGCUAACUACGUG
This 468-nucleotide ribosomal RNA is filed under the name uncultured bacterium. RNAcentral describes it as "partial 16S ribosomal RNA". It matches the Rfam family "Bacterial small subunit ribosomal RNA", at positions 28 to 507 of the family's 1533-position model. The record is from RNAcentral.